CACGUAGGGGACGAGCGUUGUCCGGAUUCAUUGGGCGUAAAGCGCGCGUAGGCGGCUCGGAAAGUCGGUCGUGAAAUGCCGGGGCUCAACCCCGGGACUGCGUCCGAUACUCCCGAGCUGGAGGCAGGUAGGGGAGAUCGGAAUUCCUGGUGUAGCGGUGAAAUGCGCAGAUAUCAGGAGGAACACCGGUGGCGAAGGCGGCCUGCUGGGACAGUGCUGACGCUGAAGCGCGACAGCGUGGGGAGCAAACAGG
This 253-nucleotide ribosomal RNA is filed under the name uncultured bacterium. RNAcentral's name for it is "partial 16S ribosomal RNA". It matches the Rfam family "Bacterial small subunit ribosomal RNA", at positions 524 to 776 of the family's 1533-position model. The record is from RNAcentral.